AUUGAACGCUGGCGGCAGGCUUAACACAUGCAAGUCGAGCGGGGGAAGGUAGCUUGCUACCGGACCUAGCGGCGGACGGGUGAGUAAUGCUUAGGAAUCUGCCUAUUAGUGGGGGACAACAUCUCGAAAGGGAUGCUAAUACCGCAUACGUCCUACGGGAGAAAGCAGGGGAUCUUCGGACCUUGCGCUAAUAGAUGAGCCUAAGCCGGAUAAGCGAGGUGGUGGGGUAAAGGACUACCAAGGCGACGAUCUGUAGCGGGUCUGAGAGGAUGCUCCGCCACACUAGGACUGAGACACGGCCCAGACUCCUACGGGGGGCAGCAGUGGGGGAUAUUGGACAAUGGGGGGAACCCUGAUCCAGCCAUGCCGCGUGUGUGAAGAAGGCCUUAUGGUUGUAAAGCACUUUAAGCGAGGAGGAGGCUACUUUAGGUAAUACCUAGAGAUAGUGGACGUCACUCGCAGAAUAAGCACCGGCUAACUCUGUGCCAGCCGCCGCGGUAA
RNAcentral lists this ribosomal RNA (501 nucleotides) under uncultured bacterium. Its description in RNAcentral is "partial 16S ribosomal RNA". It matches the Rfam family "Bacterial small subunit ribosomal RNA", at positions 30 to 523 of the family's 1533-position model. The record is from RNAcentral.